AUAUAAAGAUGAAUGGACAUAUACAUCAAUUUUAAGAACCCAUUAACAAAAAAAAAUUCAGACACUCAAUUAGCUAGCUAACAACUGUUCUUUACGAAGAGUUGAAAGAAACUUACAACCAAUGGAAACCUUAGAAAUAUCAAGGCUAUGAUGCACUAGCGAAAAUCCAUUAAACUGACCAGAGCUUUUAACUUUGAUAGAUUGGCUAUUCUUAUUAGAAAUCGAUUGUUAACAUUCAUGAAUUCAGCAUUAUAUUAAUGGUUAGAAAGUUAUGGAUCGAAUAUAAAUGCCAAAGAAAGCAGGUGUGAGGUGGUCAUUUGCUGAAUCAGCAGGAUGGAUCCAUGAUGGAUGGGAUCGUGCAAGUCUAAAGAAUUCUUCUGUAGUGAGUGUUCGUUGAGGCGAUCUAUAGGACAAAAUAGCAGAAUUGUAUAAAAGAA
RNAcentral lists this long non-coding RNA (437 nucleotides) under Schizosaccharomyces pombe (fission yeast). The record is from RNAcentral. Lineage: Eukaryota; Fungi; Ascomycota; Schizosaccharomycetes; Schizosaccharomycetales; Schizosaccharomycetaceae.